Molecule: non-coding RNA, 21610 nt
Organism: Meleagris gallopavo (turkey)
Lineage: Eukaryota; Metazoa; Chordata; Aves; Galliformes; Phasianidae
Source: RefSeq, a predicted model, not a curated record
UCUCUGGAGAGGCCUGGGGGGACUUGAUUCCUGUACCUUUAAGAUGGAAGCUGCCAACAGGGCUGCGGGAAGAUGCCAGUGUUCUCUCUCUAAUACCAUGAAAAAUUGGGGUGCAUAGCUCAGCAUCCAUCAGCAAAUGCCCCAGGGACCAUGGUUUCUUCUUUGUAGAGGUGGAAAUUCAGUUCAGCUGCUCUUCCUGUUGCAUGAGCAGGGUAGGUACAAUUCGAGACAGGUCCUGGGAUGCAAGGCUGCAAUGCUGAGGUGGUGAGGGCAGGGGCUGCGGAGGACUGAAUUACAAGAAAAGUAAGCAUCAUGUGCAUGUAACUUAAGACUUAGAAGGUAGAAAUGUUUUCUUCUGCUACCAGGAGUGCAAAGGAAAAAGCAACAAAGCGAGGUAUUUCUAUUACAAAUACUUUAAUGUUGUUCUCAUGAGAAGAGAGGCCCACAGUACUAUAAAAGGGAUGCGAAGCAAUAGAUUGGUAGAUUCUGGUGCUCUUAUCUAUUAUACACCUUGGGCAAGAUUCUUAUGCUCAAGUCUUAACUGAACAUUCAUUUUCUAACAUGUAUUUGGGACUCUCAUAUUUCCCAGCAAUCUGAGUACUUCUAAGUGGGGUUGUAAUUCGUUUGUUUCCUGGUCUUAAGUGAGGGUGGUAACAACAGUACUUCUCAGUGCCCAGAGCUGUCAGUCUACAGACACUGGCUCUGUUUCUUGUUUUCGUGCUUCACUAAUGCGAGAACCUUAAGCAGCAGGGAACUUAACCAUUUAGAGCAGCGCUGGUUGUUAGCUUUUGCGAGUGGCUUUUUUCUCUUGAAGUGCCAUUGGGCUCCUUACUUUUACAGAUAUAUCUGGAAAUUGACUCAUCUUUAUAAAUGACUAUUCUGUGGAGAUCUGGAGUUUUGAGUAUCCAGCUAAGUUCAGCAGUAUUCAGCAGUGUUCUCCCUUCGUCAGAGGAACACCAAACUUGGUGACUUCACCAUGUUUUCUCUUCAAAUUUUUCUUCUCUGAGCACCUGUCCCCACCCUCCUUUCAACUGUGGUAUCUGUGAAUGCUCUCCAUUGCUGAAGUCUUGGCUUUGGUCAGCCCAUUGAAUUAAUAGCAAAGCUACUAUCUUGUUACAGUAAAUCAGUUUUCAUUCACAGUGCAUAAUUAUUUAAAUCAGCUUCCCCCCUGCCAAGUGAAGGGGACCUGACAGCUUCUUCAGGAGUUCCCUUUCAGGAAGAUGAUUCACAUGCUGCCUCCGUGGAGACGGAAUAUUUGAAUAAUUUAUUUAUUAUUAGCAUUCAGUGUGUUUGCAGUGGUAUUACCAGAGAAGUAAAAUGAAGUCGGAGGGGUUGUACAGCACAUCCCAAAGGGAGUAAUUUGAACAGCAGAGCUCGCCUUUGUUUGAGAAAGUGGGUAAAGCCCUGGCUGGGCUGCUGGAGUCCUGAGGGUGCUGGCAGGGACACGUGUUUGUGUGCAGGUUUGGAAACACUGUGUGCAUUCAAUAGACAGUACCAGCCACAUACAGCAUUUUGAAGUGAUCCUUAGAAAAACAGUCACUUUGGCAUGACAUUUUUGUUUGCAUUCUGUGUAGUACACUUCUAAACAGGUUGCUAUGCAUUAGGAAUAUAGCACGUAGAUAGUCUUUUUAUUUUUCUACUCAAGUGUGUAAGACAGUGGCCGAAGCUGUGAUUUAGUAAGUGUAAGUGCUCAAAGUAUGGUUGUGUUAAUGUGUGUCAGAGCCAUGAGGAGGGAAGUGCAGCAGCUGCCUGCCUGUGUUCCCCAAAUGCAGGACUCCUGAGCCUCCUUUGGCUUUGAAGUUGAAGGGGAGAAAGGCUGAAGUGUAGCAGACAGGUCUUGUCCAUGUUAGUUCACGUUGCAGAGUAUGCCAAGGUAAGUUUAAGCCCUACUCUGUUGAAAGUCGGUGACUUGCCUUUUAGAUCUGCACAGACAUUUCUGCUAUCUUUGCAGAUAAGUUUGUGUAUUUUGCAACAGUCCCUCGCAGUGUCUUUGAAGUUCUUGCUCCUGGGUGACUCGGGACAGAGUUUACUGCCUUUGUUUACUUUCCCUGACAACUGGAGGGUGUGGGUGCCUGCUGCAGGCCAAUCAUGCUGCCAUGCAAGGGCACAGAGGUACAGCUGCCCUGCCUCCAGCGGGAGCAGCAGCAGUAAAACAGCACUUGGAAAUACAUGUGGGAGUGAGGAGUAACUGCUGCUGCAAAUCCCUGCGGCCUGGCCUGGCUACCCCAGUUAAUAGUGUGGGGUAGGAGAGGAAAGGAGAGGGUUCUGAAAGCCUGGAGGGGGAAGCGGGAGGCUCCUUGCCCAGGUCAGUGCUGAGCUCAUCUGCAGGUAGCAGUGCUCCAGGGGCACUGCUAAAUGAUUGAGCUGAUCUUAGCAAGCUCCUGCUCAGUGCCCUUCUCCUUGCCAGCCUGUAUACCCCAGUGUUCCCCAUUUCCCACCAGGAGCUGCUCCUUGCUCAGAACUCAAGGCUCACUUGCCCAUGCCCAGCAUUUCUGCAGGCCCAGGGCACGGUGAGCAUCUCCCAGGUGCUGCUGGUGACUGAGAAGUGCUGGGCAUGGUUCCCACAGAGAAGUCUGGCAGCAGUGUGUGUCAGACUUGUCCUGUCAGUGGCAUUUGGGGCCAGCCCACCUCCAGCUAGGCUGGGUUGGAGCAGGACGGAUCAGCGGCCCACACCAGGGACAUGGCGUAGUGCUGGCUUUACAGCACUAGUGCUCUGAGCAGGUCGUGGUUAGAAACAAAGGUAGGAUGCAUGCAGUAACAUAGGACACGGUACAGUAUGUAAAGAUUUCCAAAACUGUAAAAUCACUGUGAUUGUUGCCAUCAGGAUCUUUGGGCUGAUGAGCUGGAGCAUAUGCUCCAUGCUGAGAGCUUGCUACUGUUUGGCAUUCCUUCACUGUGAAGGUGGCAUGUAUUAGAAGUAAUCUUGGCUUUCAUAACUGUAGAUUCUGUUUGAGAGUACAGCCACAAGAGACACAUACGUCUGUGCCUUACGUGGAGACGACUAAAAUAAGAACAGUUUUGCAAUUGUGUCACUGAGCAGUUCUGGUGGUGUGUAGUUUGCUAUGAACGGGGAAAGCUGUUGUCAAGUUGGGCUGUUCCUUGACGGCAUGUCAGGUUCCUUGAGACAUAGUUACACUGCGAGAAUUAAAAGAAGAACUCUGGGAAUUUUUAAGAAGCUCUUAUGCUAGGACUUUCUUCUGUCUUGGGCAGUUAGACAUCCCUCAGCAGACUCCUAGCCAGUAAACUGAAGAAAGUUAUGGGAAAAGCAGCAAUGGUGAUUGAAUCUGAGAGUUUUUUGUGUUUGUGGUGUCUGUGGUUAACAUUGGCACUAAUUGUUCCUCUCCAACAUGCAAAGAAUUUCUGCCUACUGGUCCGAGCUGAUCGCGGUACUGCCGGUUAAAGAUUGGUAGGUUUUUGGUUCCAUAAAAGGCAUUUCUUAAGCAUCAACAAGAAAUGGUCAAUUAAUGGAAAUGGCAUAUUGCUAAGUGAGCCUAAUGUUAUUUGAACAGUAGAGAAAACUAGAGAGUAUCUUAAAGUGUAAGGGUGGUUAGCAGUAUGCACAUUUCAUGCUGUGUGUUAUUUAAGCUGAAUGUGUAAAAAACAGUUGGUUUCAGUUAUUGGAAUAAAACUUAACCGCAAGAAAUUCUUCAGUUGUGCACUUGUCAGUAUGCAGAGCUCUGAAGUCACUGAAGUUCGUUCUCACACAUCGCUUUAUUUUGCUGCAAUUUAUAACAGACUUGAAACUGAAUUGGGACUUCAAGAGGGAAGGAAGUGGGGUUUUUCCCUUUAUCAGUAGAAGUACAGCAUGUUCAGAAACCCAAAAACUGAAUCCAGGACUCCUUUUGGGGCAAUUAAUCCUUUACGCUAUCCAUGUCAGUCUGUUUGAAGUACACCUGCCAGGGUGGUAGACUGGGAAAAUGAGCCUACAGUAGGUACAGCACUUUUUCCUCUCAUUCCUCUCUCAUUUAAAGUAAAGGUAAGUUGCAUUUGCAUCCUGAAGGGUACAUUCUUUAAGCAGUCCUCUCAAAUCAGCAUGAGAUAAACUCUCAUUUUUGUGCCUAAGUGAUCUUUGGCAGAAGUCCUUAAGACUUUUAAGCUGGUGAAGUAAUUGAUCUUGUUGUUAAUGUUUUUAAUACUGACCACAAAUUAGCAAAGAAAAUAUGAGUUUAUAUUCAAGCUGUCUUGGGACAGCUUCUGUCAAUUUGGAAAUACCAUUAUGAGAUCCUUGGCUUCCUUUUAUGUAAUUUUUUUCCUCAAAGUUUUAGUUCUUUUUAAAGGUCAAAGUCUCUCAGUGGUUGCAACUGCAUAAAAUAAAGCUAAUAAGUUCACUUUCUCUCUGACAAUGUUUAUUUCUACAUCUGGUCCAUCACACUGCUCUCUAAUGCAGAAGAAGGAUCUGGUGAAAUUGAAAUUGAAGUUGUUCAUGAAGCAGUGGGAAAGUCCAGUCCUGAAUUUUAAACAUAUGCACAAUUGUGAGGUAGAUAUUAAGAACAUUUACUGCAUGUCUUUUAAUUUCAUAUUUCUACAGUACAUCCUUGCACUGAAGCUUUUAAACAGAGCUUCUUUAUGUGAAUGCACUUGUUUUUCUUUAUAAUAGGAUAUAUUGCUUUGUGAGUUCUAUCAUUUGUGUUUCUGAUACUAACAAAUAAGUUGUUUCUCAUGAAACAAGAACAGCAAACUGUUUCUCUUGAGAGGCAAAGAUACAAUAGCUAAGGCCAGACAGCCUGAUGAGCCAUGUGAACAAAUGUCUAUCUGUGUGUAUAUUUAACAAACGUGUUUAAAUAUAAAUGUGUGUUAUCAAAUAUAUUGAGCAUGUACAAAUAAAUGUGUAGUCAUAUAGGAAAGUAACCCUUUUUGUGCUAUAGAUUUGGUUCAUCUGCCCUACUUCCUUUUCUGUGUUGGUAACUUGCGUGCUUCUUUUUAUAGGGUACAGUGUCUUGCACAGAUACAGCUGCUCCUACUCUUUACCUGCAAAGGAAACCUCCACAGUAGGUGUAAAAACACAAGCCCUGAAAUACAUAAUUUGGUGUCUAAGCAAGGGUUUGAUGUGUCUGGAGAACAGCACUGGUUCAGGAGAAUGACGCUGAUAUUUGCUUUCAAUGGUUUGACCAAAAUUAAUCUCAAAAAGGCAACCUGUGUGCACAUGGGUGUUCAGAGUGCAGUUUCGUACCAGAAGACAAGAGAAGCAGCUUGGUAUUGUCUGCUCAAAUUGAUGCUUUAGGCACCCAGUAAACAUUGGCUUCGCAGUGCAAUCCGAUGAACUACUUACUGCUUGAAGGCAGAAAUGGCAAGGGGCAGAACUUGAUGGGAGCAAAAUCCAGUGACUAGGCAGUACUGCAAGGUCAUGGCUCCAUGGCUUUUCUGUUCAGUCACCCUGGAUUAGCAAAGCUCCAAUGACUUCUAAAGAACAAGACCUAGAGUUACUGGCAGAUUUCUGAAACGAAUCCUUCUGAAAUUGUGUUGCCAGGAUCAGCAGUUACUGUCUUAACCAGAGCUGCAGGUGCAUUUAGUCAGUGGUAUCGAAAUUUGUGUUGUAAAUGUUUCAUGAAUUGCCAGCUGUCUUUAGAGAUGCCCCCUCUGCCUUUCACAUGGGUAGUUUCCCAAAGACUGACAUGUUAAGCUCUUCCAGGUAGCCCUUAGCGCCUGCUCUUGAGAGGACAGUGAGCAGAACUUCCAGAACAAACAUUGCUGAGUUUUUGACUGAUACUUCACUUCUCCGUGGUUAACUGCAAGAACAAAACUUAAAUAUUUAUUCUUUAAGUGGAGGAAAAUGAAAUGUAAAAGGCCCCAAUGAAAUGUGCAAGUUUACAAGUCUGCUGAAUGGCUCUUCAGCAAUCCACAGAUGGUGUGUAAUGGCUUAAGAUGAUGGUAGUGAACUAUCAGCCUAACUAAAGGCAUCGCUUUUUAUUUAUCUGAAGAAAUGGUGAUGUUGUGGCAGUACUUAGAGUGCUUCGAUAGUAAUCUUUUCCACUGAAGAUUGGUUUAAAUUGAUAAUAAGGAAAAAAUGUACCUUAGAGCAGAUCUGUUAUGUGAAAACAGAUCCUAAAGUAAUACAGUUCUCCAUAUUGGAGUUUUCUUGUCCUCUCAGUGGUUCAAGAGCAGAGUAUCCCUGUGCAGAAGGCUGGUGGCUUCAGAUGACAUGGUUGGAAGCUAUGGUCAGCCCUACUUGGGGGCCAUUGAGGUCAGUUCAGGAGUGCCCCAGAAAGGGUAGAGCCAGAUGACCUCUCUCAAAAAGGGAAGAUAUUCUCAAUUUUAGGCAACUUGAAAAACAACUUUCAGACUCAUGGAAGGAGAAAUAUGGUGCUGAAGACUAGGUGGGAUGAGUUGUGGUUAGGAUUAAAGAUGUUUUUAGAAAUGUCCAAUUGCAUCCACCUGGCCUGUCUCAGAUUUUAAUGUACAUUCUUGUUCGCUCGGAUUCUGUGAGCUGGAAAAGGAACAGUUCUACGCAGAGCGCUAAGUUUACAAAAUGACUCAUGAUUUAGCUAAUACUAAUGAAUUCAGGACAAACUCUGGAGUGGGGGAAGAUUUCGACAUGCUCUUCUUGUUAGACCAACACAAAGAUUUGUCCCAGCUUUCACUGCGCUGCUGUGUGGUGGUGGUUUCACAAGUCAUAUUUCUUCUGCACUUGCUGAACCAUGUCAGACUGCUGUUGUGGCAGAAUAUAUUCUCCUUACAAAGCUGUCUGCCAUUGAGGUUAAUUAGCUAUUGGUAAUGAUUUGUCUACUACAAGUAGAUGACAGGUCUAAAAAAAAAAAUCAAGUCUUUCAAUGCAGAUUUAAUCUCUCCUGUUUUGUGUAUUUCAGAACGCAGUUCUUCCUACUAUAUAAUCAUGUAAUAUAUAUAUUUUUUACGUUAGUCUUCUCCUCUAUUCAGUGCAUGAGCUGAGAAAUCUAAAUUUGGUGGGUUACUAUAAACCUGGUUAGAUCUUGUAUGUUAAGUGCUUUACCUUUUGGGUGGAGUUAAAUUUUGUUCUUUGUAGGAAGAUUUUCCACCCUUGUGACUUUUAGGUUCAUUAUUUGUAAAGAAAAUGUGAGCUGUUAGUUCUGCCAUACUUAUGCAUGCCAGUAUGCCAUAUGCUGCAUGCCAGUUCUCUUAUUAUCAGAGAUGUUAUAAAAGUGAAAUGAAAAAGAAUUUCUGAGCGCCCGUUGUAAAAGUUUGAAUUUUCUCAGAGACUGUGGUAUCUGUUUAAAACAGAAAGUUUGUUCUUCUACUUAGUUGUUACUCAGGCUUGCCUCUGCCCAUUAUGCAUGUUGGUACCAUAAUUUAUGGUUUCCUUCACUAACAUUGAAACUCUGGGUCAAUUUCUCCUAUCAAGGAAAACUUGCAUUUCUUAGGAAGUCAUAAUCUGGUCACUAUAAUAGAAGCACAGUAUAUGAUAUCUAAGUUUAUUCAGUCCAUAUUUCAGAUGUGCAUGGAACACCGCAGAAAAUUAUAAUGACAGUUGUUUGCCAUAAAAUGUAUAAUAUCUAAAUGUAACAUAUUUGUGUAUACAUGUAGUAGUUGUAGUCUUCAAAAUCUGUGUAAUAUUUUCAAGAAUGAUAAACUGUACUUGGAUUGUGCCAAUAACUCCGAACAGUUAUCACAUAUCUUCAUAGUACUUUAAGGCAUUAUCUAAUGAGUUUGCACAGCAUCCUUUUCAGUAGCUUAGGGUGAGUACCAGUUCCCUGGGCUUAAAGGGAGACUUUGAGCCCAUCAGGUGUGGCAAGAGCCACAGAAUCCCUGAGCCUGCCUUGAUUCCUUUAUGUUAAGAGAAAUUCCCAUCAUAGUCAAGAAACACUCUGCAAAAUGAAGCGUCUCCCUCUCUGUUUUGGACACUGAGUUUGGGAGGCCUGAAUGAAUACUUGCAUUUUAAGAAAUUUAUCAUAUGUUAUUGGUGUCAGUGGUGGAUGUUUACUGCACUGGGCUUCCUUCGUAAGAGCCUAGAACUAUGGGAUAGAUAUUAAAGAGGAUACACAGACAUUCUGCACUUAACCAAGGGAAAAAGGACACACGCUGAACGAUCAUCUGCGUGACUCCUCACUGCCGGCAUGGAUGCUGAGUAAGGUUUGGGUCAGCUCUCCCUGUGGCACUGUCCUUUGUGGCUUCUACAACUUCUGCACACGAACUCUGAAAUUUCAGCCAGGAGACGAAGGGUUUAUGGGGUGUCCUUGCAUUCUUUACUGUUGGCUGGAGCAUGCAGCUCGCUCUGUCUGUGCAACUAUUGAAGCAGUCACAUAAGCAAGUCUGUAAUUUCCUGCAGUAUUUUUUCUAUUUAAAGUGCUCGAAUCACAGAGCACUCAAAUUAAGCAGUUCAUGCACUUUGGAAUUGAAGAGAGUGCCUUGGAGAAACUCUCCAACUGCAGCUGAAUUAAUGCUAACUGGGGCCUGAGGAUUGCUAGCAAAAACGUGUGGAUGAGGGGCUGAUAAACCUGGCAGAGUUUCAGGAAGCAAGGGUGGGGUGGCUGGGGAGCAUUAUCUUAUCUAAAUGGUAAUUUCUGUUCUGUACGUUAAUUAAAACACAUAGUGUACAAACGAGCAUUUAGGAAAUCUUUUGGAGGAUCUUUUCCUAAGGGGGUAUUUUGGAAGUAAAUUGCGAGCUGUACACAUCUACUCCAUGCAGCCUCCAAGAACAGUACAGAAACAAAUGAUCCAAAUUAUAUUGCAAGAGUUUUUGUUUAUGUAGGUAUUUGGGGCAGAAUCUGUUUUAUUUUGUACUUAAUAAUGCAUUUUUGGUAUCCUGAUUCUCUCCGCAGUUAAGAGAAAAGAUUGUACUUGUUUCUUAAUGCUUCUUCUUGAAGACUGCUGUAACAUAUCCAGGAACCAGUGUGGAUGAGUUGUAGGAGGGGCUGACUGGAUGAUUAAGUGUGAAAGCAAGGUUCCCAUUCCACUAUCAGAAAAUAUUUACAGGAGGCAUGUUUUUCAUUACCAGGUUGAUUUUGCUUUCUUUGCUGUCUUACAGUGCAUUCGUGUCUAAUCUGUUUGCAAUCUUGCUUCUGUGUAGCUCCCAAAUUUUGCUUUUUGGGUGGAACGAUCUCAUGCACUGGCAGAGUUGGGUCCUGUUGGUAUUUUAUUUGCUGCAUUGCCUUUUUUAUGGAACGUAGGCACAUAUCACUUUGAAAAACAACAACAAACCAAUUCUCCCGUAAAAUGUUCCUCACUUGAAAAACUGUAGAAUUUAUCGGAUUCUUGGUAAUUGCAAUGACCUCAGGUGUAGCAAAUGAAUAAUAAUGAAAGCUAAAUAACAGAGUUUAGAGGCAGUGAUUUUGUUUUUUAAACUUUUGCAGAAGAACAAAUGCUUCCUGUCAUGGGAAAAGGAAGUUACAGAUGCUUGUGUGGAAUUAAAAGGGAUUUGGAAAUGAAAAGUAACCCUUUUGUGUGCCCCAAAUAUGAAACUGCGUGUGGUUUGCCUGGGCAUUUCAGUGAAAUCCACUCUCCUAAUGUAAUUCAAAUAUUUAGAUUUUGGAUUAAGGUAGGCUAUAUUCAUAAGAACCAAAACAGGUAGAGAUCAUUUUUGUCUCAUCUGGACCCUCCCUUAUUACACCUCGCUUAGUUUUCCCGUUUAUGAGCCUUUCUAUCUUUUCCUUCAGUGGUUAGUCUACACCAGAGUGCAAAAGAUAUUAAGGAUAGAAGCAGAGAAAAAGACAAACACUGACCUUUCUAAUUGGCUCUUGAAGCCUGACAUAUUUACCACUCUAAGAAUUAAUAGGGUGACAUGGUUUGUCAGCCAAAUCAAGUAUUUCUUGCUUCUUCAUGAAGCCUACCAUUAAACAAAUAAAUAUCUGCUGGUGUCUCCACAUAAUAGAUUUUUAUACAUUGUUAUAGAAAGAAAUCUUACUUCCAGGUGAUUCAGAAUAAACUUCAGUAGCCAAGCAGGCUGCCCUGUGAGCCCCCUUGCUUUCCACGCUAAGUGCAAUCCUGGUUGGAAAUGAAUGGCUCACUUCUGUGUCUGAAGUCUUUGGCACCAAGAAUUAAGACUUAAUCAUGCCCUGCAUUGAUGGGUAGCAGAGCAGAACGGCUCUCUCUGAGCUGACAGGAUGGUGUUUUGUUCUUUACUAGUGUUCUCUGGAGGUAGUGGAAAGGACUGUGAAACCUCUGAUUCCUUGCUCCACUGUGGAUUAGGGGUUUUCAAGCAUAACCUGGAAAAUUUUUUCUCUCUGAUGGUAUUGAGGCUGAGAUGUCUGGUAGUAUCCUAGAAAGCGUAAUGAUAACACCACUAGGAUCUUGCUUAUUUUUAACGCGUUCCAUGAACUAGCUAGGAUUAACUGUUUGCAUUGCAGAGUUUUACAGUGAGUUUUAUUAGCAGAGGAUAAUGACUUCAGUGUACCUCUGACAAAUCUGUGGUCUCUUCACAAUAUCGACUCAGAAAAUCUAAUGAAACAGAUUGGUAUUGUUUGGAGUGCUGGUCUGUUAAAAGUGCCUGUGAAAAGGAUGCCAGAAAGCACUGUACUUUUACAAAGAAAACAAAGCAAACAUAUAAAAACAAAGCGACCUUUCCUGUGGCUUUGUUGCUGUGAUAAAUACAGUGAGUUCCAGGAACUUCUGAAAGGGAGUCUUUAAAACUGAUCUGACACACAAAAGUGCAAACAUUGAGCUAAUCUCGAAGAGCAAGUAAAAUCACAUUGUAUUUGACUUUAAAAGGGAUAGUAAACUCUAUCCUGCUGGGUCUCUGCGGGAUGAACGAGUAUUGAUGUUUCAGAAUCAAAGUAGCCCAUGUAAAUUCAGUCUUACGUGUUAUGUAACAGCUGAGGAUUUUAGGAGAAUUAUGACGUAAAAGCUUGGUGCUUAUUUAAUAAACUGAUCAUUAAUUACAGUUCAGCAAUUUGCUUCUGGGUUGAAAUGAGGAGUAGCUGUACAACCCUUUCCAUUUUAAUCACAGCAUCUGUUACAAGGAUAAGUUUCUCUCCCCCUAAUGGACAUUUUGCUGCGUUGGUGCUGUACGUGUUGUUGGCAGUGUUUUAAUUCAGAGUUGUUCAUUGUGUGGGGGUUGGUAUGUGCCCCCUCCAAAAGACACUGACCCAUUCACUCAGGGCAAACAUCUCUAGCUAACUGCUGCCUGCAGUAGCUGCUUUUGAUCUUGCUUUCCUAGCUAUGAUUUUUCCCCUUUUUUCCUCAUCUCUCUUCUACCUCUAAGAAUUAAAUGAUGCAGUCAUAGAGGAAGGCACGUGUCUUUGCACUGUUAUAAAGUGACAACUUUGUAAACUGUUUGUACUUAAAUCUACUUAGAAGCUGUGCUGUAUCUGCUGUGGGGAUCCAUCAGCAGCCUAUCAGGUUCUCCACCUGAACGCUUCAAGUAAGGUACCAACUGUUUAAAGUUUGGGACCACCUGUCAAGAGUGCGUAUGAAUCUGCCUUCUACCACGGUUGACACUUCCAUAUUGAAACUAAAACCAUCACAACUUGGAACGUCGACUCUUCCUGAAAAAAAGUACUUUGCAAGAAUAGUUAACCCCAAGCACUGCAAUGGAGCAUAGAGCUUCUUGUUGGUCAGAAGUAUAAACAAAAAUUGCCAUUUCCCAAGGGAUUCAGUAAACACAAGAUAAUGAUGCUCCACACUUGAUGGCAGUUUCUGCAGUCAUUUUCUGUCGUGGCCAUCAGCAGAAUAAAACCAAAUGGGUUCCACAUACUUGAAUCUUUGGCAAAAGACAGUGUUCUCAGCAAGCAGUAUUGGGUGUUGGCAUCAACAGGUCCUGGGAUAAAGGUUUACCAGUUCUUUCUAGGAAGAAAAUAUGAUGUUUUCACCCCUAACCUUAUAUUUGAUUAGGAGUAAGUCCCAAUUUCAUACAAGAACAGAAAAAAAAAAUAAUUGUGCUGUGCUUACCUACUAGGGUUGUUGGAGGGAACAGCAUUGCUGUGUUGCCUUGCCUGAAUGUUUUAAUUACUUUCCUUCUUUUGUACUGAAGCUUAAGGAAGCAGCAUACCAUCUGAUAAAGCAGAAUAAAGGCUUUCAGGGAUGCUGCUCAUGAGUGCUAGAACUAAGCCCGUGUGUGGCAGCCUGGUGCAGCACUGCAUGCCUGGCACAGUACUGGUUGCUGGGUUGUUGGUCUGCAGAGGACAGAAACCCCAGCAGUGGCUUUCAGCUCCAUCACAUGAAGUGCCAGGUGUGCCCCUGGGAGUCUGCUUGGUUACAGGGCCUUCAGACUGCCUGUGUUCUUGAUGAGUGAUUUUCUUUGCAUUCCCAUCUGUAAAGAAUGAGAGUUUGCUGUAGGAGUUGAGUGCUGACAAGUCCCUUUCAUGUAGCCAUGGUUUGAACAAGCGCAAAGAGUUCUUUCUGAAAUACCAGCAUAAAUUGGGGCUUUAAUCUUAAUUAGGGCGUGUACGUUGCAAAGUGAAUUGUAGGGGGAAAAAAGUUGCCACCUUAUUUUUAAUCAUAUUUGUACAACUUUUUAUACAGUAAUUAUGUGUUUUACUCUGAACAUCAAGUUAUGUUGGGAAAUAAAUGGUAUAAGCUGAGCCUGAAUUUUAAGUGUGAGCAAUGUUUAAAAAGCAAUUAACACAGAGAGGUAUACUGAGUGAUAAACAGGGGAGGAGGCAAGCAAUUGAAAGCAAAAUGAUCUUGCUGUAACAGCUUUCUGUUCAGGAGAUGCAGUAGGGAAGCAGGGAAGCAGCUUGUGCAUCGCAUGGAUUUCUGUUGGCCUUCUGUGCAAGGCAAGUUCCGUGGCAGCGUGACCUUCACACGCACAGCUCCAGCUGGGAGCUCCAACUUUCCCAGUGGCUUUGAUUUGCUCACAGUAUUAACGAGUGCUUAACCUCAUAAGCAGCAUUUCCUGAAUAUGACAUAACUUCAGCUAUAAAAAGUUUAAGUUUUAUUGUGGUUUUGGAGGACUUUAACGAAGUGAGAUUUCUAUCAGCCCAGCGUUUCCGCACAGUGACUCACAGACCUGUGUGCAGCACCAAUAGGUGGACAUUUUACAACUUGGGCAUGGUUCUAACGUGUUCGAAAGUAAGCAGACUGAAGCUGGCGGUAGUGCUACCGUGUUAUCCAAGAGGCAUUUUGACUACUAAUCAACAUAAAGUAUUUCCUUUCUAUGCAGUUCUCUCAUCUGGGUUCAUGCGCCUGAUGGCCAGACACAUUAAAGAGAGCAGCGUGUGCACGGUAAUGGGAGAGCAGGCCCCUGUGACUGAAGAUUUCAAGCAUUUCUCUUCCUUCCAGAAAUUACAGGCAAAAGAACUGAAGUAAUAGAACUUGGGAAGUAAAUUUAGGGAGAUAGUGUGAGUGAUCAGUCAUUACUACAGCUCAGUUUCUAUGUUCUGAAAUGUUAGUUUUGUCAGUAAUCUAAAACUCCUUCCAGAAAUUAGGCCCGUUUUAAUCUCUGCUUGUGUUCGGGGUAGUGAGCAAUUUACCGGAGUUAGGGAGACUCACUUAACAGUUCUGAUUCAGUUUGCCAAAAGGAAUAACGAAAAUUAAGUUUCUGUGGUGUUUUGAAUGCUCAAUUCUUUAAAGACCUUCCAGAUAUUUAAGCUUCUAACUCUUAGAAGUGUGGUGGAAUUCAUUUUAUAUGCUAAACAGCAAUAUUUUGAUAUAUGAGUGAAUUUUUAGAGCUUUAAUGUAAUUGCUGUAUUUAAAAGUAGUACUUAUUUAGAAAUUAUGAAGGGUAGUUUCCCUUGCCUGAUGGGUUGUAGAAAUGUGGCUCUGUAGCUGUGCCUCCUAAAUGUUGAACUGGGGUGAACUGUGUGUUGAGGAGGGUUUGUUAAUACGGCGUUACAGGUAAAUUCUCCUCUCAAAAACAGCGUCUCAGUAAAAGGCUUUUUUUUUUUUUUUUUCAUAGUUGCAUCUAUUAACUAGAGUACUUCUUUUGAGGCAUCACCAAGUCCAGCUCACUGUCAGCAUUGCUGUGUCAGUAAGUGACAUGGUGCUCUAAAAUGGAUGUGGUGGUGGUUGGGCAAGCGGGGUUGUGGCUACUAAAGAUGAAGUCUGUGUGCUGUAUUCUCAUCAGUGUUGAGCCUCCCACCCACAACCUCUCAUGCAUUUCUGACGGUAUCUGAGCAAGAACUUGAAAUUGGAGUGUUUCAAUGUAUUAUUUAUCCUUAUCAAAACUGGAAAAUUUCUUAGCGCUGUUACUGCUAAACAGUGUCAUGGUAGUGCAGAUAAGAGUGCCUUUUGGGGAAGAAUUACCACUUAUAAAGCAUUUCAGAGCAUGGUGACAGCAUCAGUGCUAAGGAGAACUCUGUAGCUGAAGGUCAGAGCACACUGUGAUAGGAAGCUUUGCUGCCAAGGGCCUUUGUUCUGGCACUGUGCUGUGCACGCUUUGCCCACGGUGGUGUGGUUUGUUGACUCCUUGCUGUCUCCCAACAGAAUGUCUUCCAGGCCACUAUAGCUAUCACUGGAAACGGAGCCUAAGUUUGAAACCAAAAGGUUCUCUGGGUUUCAAGUUGCAGCAGUCACAGAGGAAAGCAGGAAAUCAGUGCUGCCAGAGGGAAAGAAUAAUCUGGGGAAUAAAACUUCACUGAGGCUCAGAAGAGGAGAUUGCACGGCUCGCCUGUCCACUAAUUAACAUUAUUUUUUGCUUAGGAAUAAAGAAUCCAUGUACAUUUGUAACCAAGUGCUUAUAAUUCAGAUUACUUCUAUGUUGUGUAAUAUUCAGAAAUGUAAGUUGGAAUUUCUUUUCUAUGCGUAAGAACCAUUAGUUUAACAUGUUGACAUCAAGGAAUAGGACUUCAUGUGGGUUUUCCAGGUCUCCGUUUCUUAAAAAAAUUAUUUAUAUCAAGUAUGUUUAAAAAUGUUUUGUUUUGUAUCGCCAGUUUGAAGUGGAAGUUAAGUCAGCACUGCAGCAGUCACCAUGUACAGCUGUAUGAAGAACAUCCUUUUGUGAAUAUCAGUCAAUACAUCUUUGAGUGUUUUAUGGAAUGUAACAUGAAAGGCACAUUCCUUGCCGAAACUUCCUUUAUGCUGGGCUUCUCUCUAAUGUAAUUUCCAUCAGUUAAGGAAUAAAGAGAGCGUGUUUUGGGGUCCGUUUUGCUUGGCAGUGCACAAAGAAAAAGAAGCUUGAGGUGGGGGGGAGGAGUAUUAUUUCUCAGCUACUUCACACAAAGAAAUACUGUACUGCUUUCAGAAAUCCCUUAGUACAAAUGCCUCCUGUCAUAGGCAAUCAGCGUUACGCCAUUUUGACAUAGCUGUACAGGAUACUGCAGUGUUUUAUGAAAUUGUUGAUCUGGACUUAGUACAGGAGAGCUGGAACUGGGCUAAAGCUUAAAGUCUGAUUUUCAGUGUUCAUAGUGGUGUUGAUUGUGAAGCAAGAACUGCUUUAAUGGGUAGUUCUUCUCAAAUUCAACACAGUACACUUAAAAGAUGAGGCUAACCAAGCAUAGAGCUGCUUGGAAGGACUGGGGCUGUCUGUCUGUCUUUCGGUCUAUGCAGCUGUGUGUGCACAGAAAGGAGUAUCAGAAAUCCUCCAUCACUUGCAUGGCACUUGUGUUGACUUUGUUAGCAUGCCUCUAUCAAAACCCUGGUAGUGCAAAAUAUGUUUGUUUGUUUGUUCUUUCUUUAACUGGAACUUAAACCUGGUUACUUAGUUGAAUGCUCCAUCCUAGAAUGGAUCCAAACAGUGUGGCAGGGCUGGACAUUUUGAGAACUUCAUAUUUCAAACCUUUAUACCCAUAGCAGCAGAUGUCCUACCAGUAUAUUACACUGCCUGACUGUAAAACACCAAGUGCUUGGCUCUGUCUUCUGUUGCUAGAAGUGGUAUCUGCCAGAUCUCUGCACCAGCAGAUGAAGUUUGACUGGGAAAAACAUCUGGACUCUCACACUAGUGAGGUGGGGAGGGAGGGAGAGCUGUAAACCCCGUCUGGAACAGGUAGUGCUGCUGCCAAAGAGGGGCUGGCCCUGGCUGGCAGCAGUUAACCAGCUCAGCUGCUUCCUAAAGGCUCUUGUGCAAGGCUUGCUGCCCUGUGCUGACUGCUUGAUGUGUGUUGAAGUUGUUCUGCUGCUGUAGUCCUGCAUACGGAAAAGCAGAAAGUAAAAAGCUGUAGUUCCCUGCCGUUGAUAGCAUAAGCAUGUACACAAGAAUGUACUUCAUGCUUGUUAAGCUUACAUCCCGAUUGCCCUCUUCUAAAUGAGCUGUGUAAUACUGAAAAUGAGAUAAUAGUAAAUAAAAUGUUCAACCCACUUUGCAGCUACCAAUAAACACAUAUAUCCUUUUUACGUUCUAUGCACACGUUUGGUUAUGUGGUGUUCCUAUAGACCUGCUGCUUGUUUUUCUUUGUAUGUAUCUACUUCUGGGAGUAGCAUAUUAAUUUUCUCCUCUAAUUACAAUCCUGUGCUGCUUAAAUUAGUUUAGUAAUUAUGAGAGUAGCCAUUACCUCAUUAAUGUGUAAGAAGAAGGUAGGAUUCAACUCCCUUGACUUCUGCUGAUCACAAGUAUUUUGAAGGUAGGUGACGUUAUUCUCGUGCUUAACUUUUGAAUCUGUCAUCUAUUCUAUGCUCCAAACAUCAAGCUUCCUCAUUAGUGGACUGUGAGAGCAUCCUCUAGAGCUGACUUGUUGACUUAAACUAGAAAGUGAAAAUUUUAUCAGACUUACUGGCAUUACACCAAAUUUCAUCAGAUUUAUUGGUUUCCUUACAUUUUUCAAUUUUCGUGACAGUAUUUCCUUUAAAAUUUAGUUUCAAGAGCUUGUUUUUUGGUGUUGGUUCAGUAAGACAGCCUGCUAUAUGUGUUUCCAUCUUAUUCACACUGAGCAAGGGAAUCCUGAUGUGCAAAUGGCAGUUGCUCUGUAUUCGUGGGAACUUCCUUUUUUGGUCUUUCAGUCUUUUGUUUCCCCCAGCCCACCUCUGCUAUUUUUUUUUUUUCUCCUGGGCAUCAACAUGUGCUCAGUUUAACGGUUUUCUUAGUAGUUUCUGAGGUUUUUCAGUUUCUUUUGGGUUCUUGCUUUUGUAUUUCCAUUUGAAAGUCUUCUCUCCUUCUAUAGAUAAUUUUGCAGUUUUGCUUGAAGUAAGACGGAAUAAAUUCUACAUCUUAAGUUAACUGUAAUUUUGUGUUUAGCACGUAUCACAUUUAAUUUAGCUUUCUUUUUAACGUGGUUUGCUGUAAAGGCACACUGGGUGCCUUUUUAGUGCCAGUACACCUUGUUCCUUUAUGUUUGCUGUUGGUGUGGAUAUGGGCUACUGGCAGUAAGAAGAAGGAUUUUUAUCGAUAUUUAUAUAAGGUGUGUGGUUUAUUUUUCCCCAUUGGACGUGUUGUUAAAUAAUAACUGCUGUAGUUCAGUGUUACUCCCAGGUAAGUUUAUAAAAUACAUGUAUCGCUUGAAGGAUUAGGGUUUUUUUCCCCUAAACUGUUGCAUGGAGGAUGGUGUUCAGUAUAUAAUGUGUUAGACCGUGACAGGAAGAAAUGUGUUCUUUAGGCGGAAAGAGGGAGAUGUAUGACAUUCUGGUGACAUGUAUAUAAUUAGUUUUGGGGAAGUGAGGGAGAGAGUUAUGACUUGUGGCUGUCCAUGUAUUUAAAUGGGUUUUGUUAUUUUCUUGGGCAGAUCUAGAAGGCUGGAGCAGAACUGCAGUCCUCAUGCUGUGCUUUUUCUUUGCAGCGAUAGAGCAGGCCACGCACCGGGGCAGGUGAGACAAGGUGCAGGUCACCCUGUCACAGCACAGGAAGCAAUCACUCGCUCACUAGCAUACUGCAGAGCCUGAUUUUCAGUUCUCCUAAUCUUUGUCUCAGCUACGACAAGCUAGGGAUGGGGACAUGAGGUGGGCCAUGUGCUUCCUGAGCUGAGAUGGGCUCCUCCAUUUGGGCUUGGUCUGGUUUUGCCCUGAGCUGGAAGAUCCGUGAGGAGAGACGUAGUGUCGGAGUUGGCUGGUUACUGCUUAAAAUGACAGAUCUUUGUGGACUUUUGAAGAAAGGAGAUUCCUUGCUGUGGUACUGCUCUGGCCUCUUGCCAUGAUGGGUAUUGUGCUCACUUAGUUGCCAGGCCAGGCUGGAAAGGAACUGAAUGAACUCGGAAAGUUUCAAAAUAUGUUAAUUUUAUUAAAGAAUAUAUUGACUCUGAUUGGUUCUUUUCCCUAUUUUUUUAAAUUGAUAAGUCUCCAAAUUAUGACCAUAAAGUCACAGAAUAGUAAGGGCGUGCUUCAAAGCAGAACAAACCAUACAUCCUUCAAACUGUAGCUGAGCUGCCAUAUGCCAGACCUGACUCCUGUUCCAGAUACUCUGCAGAUUUACUCCACAGCAUUACAUCCUUGUGGGAUUUUUUUACAUCUUUUAAUAUAGCUUAUUCUUGUCCACUUUAGUGAGAAAAGUCUUAAAAGUAUUAAACAGCAUUGGUACUGGGAAAUGGACAGAUGAUACUGAUCAGAAAAUGGGAUUGCACACUCAAAGAGCUGGCUAUGGCCUCAGGUUUUGUUGGUUCUGAGCCUCUACCCUUCUUUUAAGCAAAUACUCAAAAUGAAAUGGAGCUUAUUAACGUUAUUUUGUCCUGCUGGGUUGAAAACAUUCUGUGUAAAUGCAAAGAAACCAUAGUAAGUAUCAAAGUUAAACCACUUUUAGAGGCAGAAUCAAAUUAAAAUGAAUUUAAACAAGUUGGAUUAGCAUGAACUGACUCUGUUUGUAAAGAGUACUUUGCAUUUCUAUAUCUUUUCACAGCCAUAAUUGGGAGAAGAAUAUCAGCAACUUCACUUACAAAGCUGCUGUUUGCUUCCUCCUUUUGCCCUAAAGCAAACAAAGUAGUCAGGCUCCCAGUUUGGAAUCUAUUGAAUGAACCCAAAUCAUUUAUUUGCUGUUUAGUUGUCCUGGCAGCAAGGCAAAUAGAUGUGAAAAGAUUAGGCAAACAAAAAGGCAAAAACCUUGGCCCCCUUGUAAGGAUUUGGGAACACAGCUAGUAGUUCAUCAAUUGUUGAAGCUGCAACGUAAAGACAUUUUGGAAAAAGCAAGCUGAAAAUAAAACACCUUAUCUGUGUGACCUCUAGGAAUCAGGGAAUUCUUGGAAUAAGGUUUUAAGUUUAUUGUCAUCUCUUCCUUUUUCUUCUUGUUUGUUUUGUUGCAGCUCCAAUAUGUAUUGAAAAUCCUGUGUAACAAAUUGCAAGUGAGAAGAGUGGCAUGUUAGAGGAGAAAAUCAAUGGCUGUCUUAGCUUAAUGACUGAGACACUGCCCUGUGCGGCAGGGAUGUAUCUGAGAAAGUUGUCAGUGAGGACAUGAAGUUUCUUAUUCAAUCACAUUAAAACCCUGAGAAACAGUACGCUUUGGGACAAACACAGCAAUUAUUGCCAACCAAGAUGCAUGUAGUAGGAGAGUCUUUGCCUCUAAAAGCUUGCAGGCUAACUCUGCAAGGCAGGGAGACCAUGCAAUGGAGAGAGAUUAAACUUCAUCCAUUUAGGGGAGAGAAUGAAACACCUUGCCUGAAACCACAGUGUCUGCACAGAACUAAGGAGUUUAAUAUGAGGCUUUGCUGCUCCCUGGGUUUUGCUGACGCUGUUUUGUGGGUAGGGGAAGAAGGGCCAUUCCCAUGUGUAUUGCCCAGGAGUCCAACCUCUGGUAUGGUCCCAGGGCUCAGUGGGGAGUGCAGUGGGACAGAACAGCUCUGUCCCUGCCUGGGGUCUGAUGCACUUCUCUUUGAAGAUGAUAAAUGGAGUCACGGAGAAUUGUUGCUGUGAUAUGAAUUAUUCCCUCUGUUAUUAAAUAAUAAACAUGACCACAGUGACCUACUCACUCUCCAGACUCCAUUCCUUCUGUGGCUUAAUCUCAGUAAUGGCUUAGUGUUUGAAAUAAGUAAUGCCAGGGGUGGCUGAGAGCCGCUGAGAAAGGGGCAGCAGAAAGGAGUUGGUAGAUUGAUACCAUAUCGUGUGUAUUGUAAAGCAAGGUAGUAAAAAGCCUCAGGAAAUUAUAUUUCUUAAGUAAUGCAGUCAGAAUUGCACUUAGGCAGAGGAGAUUGCUUUGUAUUUACUAGCUGUGUUUACUGCUUUUUUCUGAUGUGCCUAAAUAGGAAAAGCGGGUAUUCAGAAACUUCGGGGAAUGGAAAAUGGAGUUCUAGACCCGAAUCUGUACAGCUACUUUUGGGAAUAACACAGUGAAAUGAGCGAGCUUGAUUUGCUGCGCAGCAGACGCCAGGAUUAUAUGAUGUGGAAGGAAUUUUUUACUUUUAAACCCUUUCAGUGUGAUGAAAUGCAGGGGAGUGGAAGGAGGGGCUGAUAGAAGUGCCCUCGUUUUGUUAACCUCUUCUGUGCUUUGAAUGCAGACGUACCAGUUGAUUCAUGUGAGCACAGCUCAUAGCGUAGGUGGGUGCUACCAAAACAGUAAUUAAAUGUAGUCUGUGUUUCUGGAAUAGAGCUAAAAUGGAGUGGAAAAUAGUAUUAUUUAUUCUGUGGUUUAAAGCCUUUCUGCUAUAAACAGAAAAUGCAAUAAACAGAGAACCAAGUUGGCAUGAAAAUUGAUGAGGAGUACAGUGUGUCUUUUUUGGUAUUUAUGCAUUAUUUAAAGCAAGUUUAGCAGACUGUAAAGCUUUUGAUUACAGUCAGCUUAUGUGUUCUGCUGCAAUUGUGUAGCACCUCAGACUAGAAUGGACCAAUGGAUAUUGAUAAUGCUGAUGGCCCACAGCAGCUCACAGGAGCAGUGGGUGAUGGUUGGCAUCAUGCUGUGCUCCCCCAGUCUGCCCAGUGCCAUGCUGCUCCCGUUCACAGAGAAGCGUUUACUGGGGCAUCACCACGGUCCUUUUCAUUGAGAGAAAAAUAUACUUGAAUGAACUUUCUUGCCUCUUGUGCUAUAUGUAGUAAACUCCAUUGAGUGUUCUAUUUAAAGAAAUGACAAGGGUAGAUCAGAGCCUUUAUUAAAAUAUCCUGGAGCCCCUUGCAAGGUUACCCUCCUCCCAUGGAAACAGUCUUUGUGCGUCAGCUGCAGCAGUGUUGGGAUGCAGCACCCCUUGUCUGUCUGGGGGCCGUCCCCUGGGGUAGCGGCCAUCUCAAUGCAGCGGCAGUUCACUUGGGGCGGUUCAGUUCUGGUUCUGGGGGUGAGGUCUGGGCCUGAUGUCUUGGUGCCGCCUACGCUGUGCAAGUGGGAGUCAUGCAAGGAAAGGGAAGGGUGCCAGGUGCUGUGCAGCAGGAGGGGCCGGGCAGGCAGUGGGGGGAGCAGGGCGCUGCACAGCACUGAGACGGUGAGCAAGGAUAGAGGUGAAACCCCAGCUAACCCCAGCUGUGCAGCGUUCCCCUUCCAGGCACUAAUAAAGCCUGAGGUGACUUCAUAUUCAAAACCUGUUGAACCUGUUGGCAAAACCAGAACCCUGGAUCCUCACUGCACCGUGUUUUGUUUGUUGCUACCAAUGCCAUGCCAAUUGCCUAGCAAUGGUGUUUGUUUUCUUAGAGCAAACUGCAGCUCUCACGUGCAGCCGCAGCCCUGCGCAGCAGUGACACGGCCAAGGCUCGCUGAGCCAGGCAGGAGCAAGAGGAGGAGGAGGAGGAUCAGGAGGAGGAGGAGGGCCCUGGUGCCAAAGGGGCUGAAUGCAGGGAACAGGGAAACCGCAGUUGUUUCCUCCUCCCGCUGGCAGGCACGGUCAACGCUAAACCCAUUGCUUUUAUAGGAACAAGCUGACCUACUUAUUGCAGCAUUGGAUUUCAGUUGGGCUCUCGUUGUCUGAGAGGAGCUGGUUUCUAACCCCACCUCAGCUCCAGCCCCGGCUUGUUGGGACAUCACCUCAUAGGUCUGGCCUCCAGUCCCUGCCUUUGG